The submitters of this non-coding RNA (95 nucleotides) gave its source as unclassified sequences. The record is from Rfam.
UAGAGCUGGUAAUAAGACACUAUGCGUGCUUAGAUGCUCCUGAGUGGAUCACUCAGUUUGAGUCUAAGAACAACACAUAUAGCACCGCCGCUCUA